UUCCUGCCUUCUGCGUUUUUGCUUUCAGAGCUGCCGAUAGCAAGAUGUCUUCGGGAAAUGCCAAAAUUGGGCAUCCUGCCCCCAACUUCAAAGCCACGGCUGUUAUGCCAGAUGGCCAGUUCAAAGAUCUCAGCCUAUCUGACUACAAAGGAAAAUACAUUGUGUUCUUCUUUUACCCUCUUGACUUUACCUUUGUGUGCCCCACGGAGAUCAUUGCUUUCAGUGACAGGGCAGAAGAAUUUAAGAAACUCAACUGUCAAGUGAUUGGUGCUUCUGUGGAUUCUCAUUUCUGUCACCUGGCAUGGAUCAACACAAGAAACAAGGAGGACUGGGACCCAUGAAUAUUCCCUUGGUAUCAGACCCCAAACGUACCAUUGCUCAGGACUAUGGAGUCUUAAAGGCUGAUGAAGGCAUCUCCUUCAGGGGCCUCUUUAUCAUUGAUGAUAAAGGUAUCCUUAGGCAGAUCACGGUAAAUGACCUUCCUCUAACUGGCAGCAAAUUGGACAUCUAG
Molecule: RNA transcript, 511 nt
Organism: Odobenus rosmarus divergens (Pacific walrus)
Lineage: Eukaryota; Metazoa; Chordata; Mammalia; Carnivora; Odobenidae
Gene name: peroxiredoxin-1-like
Exons: 2
Source: RefSeq, a predicted model, not a curated record